This 295-nucleotide ribosomal RNA is filed under the name uncultured Bacillus sp. RNAcentral's name for it is "partial 16S ribosomal RNA". It matches the Rfam family "Bacterial small subunit ribosomal RNA", at positions 1089 to 1382 of the family's 1533-position model. The record is from RNAcentral. Lineage: Bacteria; Bacillati; Bacillota; Bacilli; Caryophanales; Bacillaceae.
CAACCGAGCGCAACCCUACGUUUAGUUGCUAACGCGUGAAGGCGAGCACUCUAGACGAACUGCCGUUGACAAAACGGAGGAAAGGUGGGGAUGACGUCAAAUCAUCAUGCCCCUUAUGUUCUGGGCUACGACACGUGCUACAAUGGCCGGUACAGACGGACGCAAAGCCGCGAGGUGGAGCAAAUCCUAAAAAGCCGGUCUCAGUUCGGAUUGAAGUCUGCAACUCGACUUCAUGAAGUCGGAAUCGCUAGUAAUCGCGGAUCAGAACGCCGCGGUGAAUACGUUCUCGGGGUUU